UUUAUAAGCAUACCAGUGGAGAACCACAGUAUGAGCACCAGGAGAGACUCCAUUCUGUCAAAUUAGUCGGAUGGGGCAUGCUAGAAGAUGCAGAAGGACAAUGGCAAAAAUAUUGGAUUGCUGCAAAUUCCUGGGGAAUUUCCUGGGGAGAAAACGGUUAUUUCAGGAUUUUACGAGGACAAAACGAAUGUGAUAUUGAAAAACUGAUCAUAGCUACCAAAUGUCACCUUUAAGAGAUUUUCAUUAUGGCUACUAUUUUGUUCUACAUAGUUUUUUG
RNAcentral lists this long non-coding RNA (277 nucleotides) under Pseudonaja textilis. Its description in RNAcentral is "lncRNA (ENSPTXG00000008881.1)". The record is from RNAcentral. Lineage: Eukaryota; Metazoa; Chordata; Lepidosauria; Squamata; Elapidae.